Molecule: long non-coding RNA, 283 nt
Organism: Actinia tenebrosa (Australian red waratah sea anemone)
Lineage: Eukaryota; Metazoa; Cnidaria; Anthozoa; Actiniaria; Actiniidae
Source: RefSeq, a predicted model, not a curated record
UAUUGCUUUUAAAUUUUAAAUUGCCAGCUUUGCAGAUAAAAAUGACGUGAAAAUGAUGACAUUUGACAGCGAAAAUGAACURCACAAAAUCAAGGAAGCAUGCCCUGAUGCCAAGCUUCUUCUGCGGUUACGUCCUAAAGAAUCAAAGGCCUUGCAUGGUUUCAGCUGCGCGAAAUUCGGAUGUACUUUGUCAAACUGUGCACAUCUCCUGUCAGUUGCAAAGAGCCUUAGUCUGGAAGUGGUUGGUGUCAGGUAACAUUCUAGAAGGUUUAGAGCUAUUUUA